GAAAGUCUAGGUUAUUAGACUACGAGUUUUCAAGACUUGAGGAGCUUUAAGCGGCUUUCG
Molecule: transfer RNA, 60 nt
Filed under: Acanthogyrus cheni
Lineage: Eukaryota; Metazoa; Acanthocephala; Eoacanthocephala; Gyracanthocephala; Quadrigyridae
Description: tRNA-Trp
Source: RNAcentral